CCUACGGGUGGCAGCAGUGGGGGAUAUUGGACAAUGGGGGGAACCCUGCUCCAGCGACGCCGCGUGAGUGAAGAAGUAUUUCGGUAUGUAAAGCUCUGUCAGCAGGGAAGAAAGAAAUGACGGUACCUGACCAAGAAGCCCCGGCUAACUACGUGCCAGCAGCCGCGGUAAUACGGAGGAUGCGAGCGUUAUCCGGAUUUAUUGGGUUUAAAGGGUGCGUAGGCGGUCCGUUAAGUCAGCGGUAAACUUGCGGGGCUCAACCCCGUCGAGCCGUUGAAACUGGCAGACUUGAGUUGGCGAGAAGUACGCGGAAUGCGCGGUGUAGCGGUGAAAUGCAUAGAUAUCGCGCAGAACUCCGAUUGCGAAGGCAGCGUACCGGCGCCAGACUGACGCUGAGGCACGAAAGCGUGGGGAUCGAACAGGAUUAGAUACCCCAGUAGUC
This 442-nucleotide ribosomal RNA is filed under the name uncultured bacterium. RNAcentral describes it as "partial 16S ribosomal RNA". It matches the Rfam family "Bacterial small subunit ribosomal RNA", at positions 338 to 795 of the family's 1533-position model. The record is from RNAcentral.